GAUGAACGCUGGCGGCGUGCCUAAUACAUGCAAGUCGAGCGAACAGACGAGGAGCUUGCUCCUCAGACGUUAGCGGCGGACGGGUGAGUAACACGUGGAUAACCUACCUAUAAGACUGGGAUAACUUCGGGAAACCGGAGCUAAUACCGGAUAAUAUAUUGAACCGCAUGGUUCAAUAGUGAAAGACGGUUUUGCUGUCACUUAUAGAUGGAUCCGCGCCGCAUUAGCUAGUUGGUAAGGUAACGGCUUACCAAGGCAACGAUGCGUAGCCGACCUGAGAGGGUGAUCGGCCACACUGGAACUGAGACACGGUCCAGACUCCUACGGGAGGCAGCAUUAGGGAAUCUUCCGCAAUGGGCGAAAGCCUGACGGAGCAACGCCGCGUGAGUGAUGAAGGUCUUCGGAUCGUAAAACUCUGUUAUUAGGGAAGAACAAAUGUGUAAGUAACUAUGCACGUCUUGACGGUACCUAAUCAGAAAGCCACGGCUAACUACGUG
This 497-nucleotide ribosomal RNA is filed under the name uncultured bacterium. RNAcentral describes it as "partial 16S ribosomal RNA". It matches the Rfam family "Bacterial small subunit ribosomal RNA", at positions 28 to 507 of the family's 1533-position model. The record is from RNAcentral.